Molecule: ribosomal RNA, 515 nt
Filed under: Lumbricus terrestris (common earthworm)
Lineage: Eukaryota; Metazoa; Annelida; Clitellata; Crassiclitellata; Lumbricidae
Description: partial large subunit ribosomal RNA
Rfam family: Bacterial large subunit ribosomal RNA (bases 50-390)
Source: RNAcentral
UCUAUAAGCCGCUUAAAAAUUACCCUCUAACCGAAGAGUGUUAGAUAGCGUCGAAGGACAAGAAGACCCUAUAGAACUUAAUUUAAAUAAAUAUAAAAAAAUUUACUAAAAUUCGGUUGGGGCGACCAGGGAAUUACCCAUCAUCCCUAAGCAAAAGAUAAAUAUAUCAAAAUACUGACCCUUCUACAAGAUCAUUAAAACAAGCUACCUUAGGGAUAACAGGCUAAUCUCACUAGAGAGUCCUUAUCAAUAGUGGGGAUUGGCACCUCGAUGUUGGCUUAGGGAAUCUCUAUAACGCAAAAGUUAUAUAAAGAUGGUUUGUUCAACCAAUAACACCCUACAUGAGCUGAGUUCAGACCGGCGUAAGCCAGGUUAGUUUCUAUCCUCGAUCACUAUAUCUAUUUAUAGUACGAAAGGACCUAAUUAGAGUAACAUUUACACACAGGGAAUAAAUAUAAACCAUUCUAAAUAAAAUAAUUCAUAAACUAUGAGUAAGUUGGCAGAAUAGUGCCACC